RNAcentral lists this ribosomal RNA (466 nucleotides) under uncultured bacterium. RNAcentral's name for it is "partial 16S ribosomal RNA". It matches the Rfam family "Bacterial small subunit ribosomal RNA", at positions 28 to 507 of the family's 1533-position model. The record is from RNAcentral.
GAUGAACGCUGGCGGCGUGCUUAACACAUGCCAGUCGAACGAUGAAGCUCAGCUUGCUGGGUGGAUUAGUGGCGAACGGGUGAGUAACACGUGAGUAACCUGCCCUUAACUCUGGGAUAAGCCUGGGAAACUAGGUCUAAUACCGGAUAGGAGCGUCCACCGCAUGGUGGGUGUUGGAAAGAUUUAUCGGUUUUGGAUGGACUCGCGGCCUAUCAGCUUGUUGGUGAGGUAAUGGCUCACCAAGGCGACGACGGGUAGCCGGCCUGAGAGGGUGACCGGCCACACUGGGACUGAGACACGGCCCAGACUCCUACGGGAGGCAGCAGUGGGGAAUAUUGCACAAUGGGCGAAAGCCUGAUGCAGCGACGCCGCGUGAGGGAUGACGGCCUUCGGGUUGUAAACCUCUUUCAGUAGGGAAGAAGCGAAAGUGACGGUACCUGCAGAAGAAGCACCGGCUAACUACGUG